Molecule: long non-coding RNA, 458 nt
Organism: Mastomys coucha (southern multimammate mouse)
Lineage: Eukaryota; Metazoa; Chordata; Mammalia; Rodentia; Muridae
Exons: 3
Source: RefSeq, a predicted model, not a curated record
CUAGGCAUAUUCAGUUCACACUUAGAUAAUCUGUCCCUCACCCAAAUGACUUACUCUACUCUUCUUAGGGGAAGGUCUGACCCCUAAACUAUAACGAAACACAGCACAGGAUAUCAGCUACUUGACUGUGUUCCAAAGAAAAUCUAUUCAACACAGUCGUGAGAAUCCCUGAAUUAGUAGAAUUCUUUUUCUAAAAUUAGGAGAGAGAGAGAUAAAAUGGACAGAAUGGAAAGUGAGCUUUCAGGUGUUUACAGAGAACUGGAGGAGCGGCAGUAAAACAGGAUUCUUCCUUCUGUGGGAGCAAAAGAAAAGAUCAGGACCAUGAGACUUCCAGAUCAGUUCCUUCAAAAUGCAAAGAGGCUCAACGUGGAUAAUGAACAUGGAAGGCAAGCAUUGCCCAUUCCCCAGUUUUCUGUCUUCCCUGGGUGACAGAUCAUUAAACUGGAUCUGAAAAUGCA